RNAcentral lists this ribosomal RNA (227 nucleotides) under Clostridia bacterium. RNAcentral's name for it is "partial 23S ribosomal RNA". It matches the Rfam family "Bacterial large subunit ribosomal RNA", at positions 2699 to 2925 of the family's 2925-position model. The record is from RNAcentral. Lineage: Bacteria; Bacillati; Bacillota; Clostridia.
GGACGCACCUCUGGUGCACCAGUUGUCACGCCAGUGGCACAGCUGGGCAGCUAUGUGCGGAACGGAUAAACGCUGAAAGCAUCUAAGCGUGAAGCCGCCUCCAAGAUAAGAUAUCCCAUGGCGUAAGCCAGUAAGACCCCUCAAGGACUAUGAGGUUGAUAGGCUGCAUGUGUAAGCGUAGUGAUACGUUCAGCUUGGCAGUACUAAUAGGUCGAGGGCUUGACCUU